Molecule: ribosomal RNA, 497 nt
Filed under: uncultured bacterium
Lineage: Bacteria
Description: partial 16S ribosomal RNA
Rfam family: Bacterial small subunit ribosomal RNA
Source: RNAcentral
GACGAACGCUGGCGGCGUGCCUAAUACAUGCAAGUCGAGCGCUGAAGGUUGGUACUUGUCCCGACUGGAUGAGCAGCGAACGGGUGAGUAACGCGUGGGGAAUCUGCCUUUGAGCGGGGGACAACAUUUGGAAACGAAUGCUAAUACCGCAUAAAAACUUUAAACACAAGUUUUAAGUUUGAAAGAUGCAAUUGCAUCACUCAAAGAUGAUCCCGCGUUGUAUUAGCUAGUUGGUGAGGUAAAGGCUCACCAAGGCGAUGAUACAUAGCCGACCUGAGAGGGUGAACGGGCACAAUGGGACUGAGACACGGCCCCAACCCCUACGGGGAGGAGCAGUAGGGGAUCAUUGGCAAUGGACGAAAGUCUGACCGCGCAACGCCGCGUGAGUGAAGAAGGUUCUCGGAUCGUAAAACUCUGUUGGUAGAGAAGAACGUUGGGGAGAGUGGAAAGCUCAUCAAGUGACGGUAACUACCCAGAAAGGGACGGCUGACUACGUG